AUACGGAGGAUCCAAGCGUUAUCCGGAAUCAUUGGGUUGAAAGGGUCCGUAGGUGAUAAUUAAGUCAGAGGUGAAAUCCUGCAGCUCAACUGUAGAAUUGCCUUUGAUACUGGUUAUCUUGAGUUAUUAUGAAGUAGUUAGAAUAUGUAGUGUAGCGGUGAAAUGCAUAGAUAUUACAUAGAAUACCGAUUGCGAAGGCAGAUUACUAAUAAUAUACUGACACUGAGGGACGAAAGCGUGGGGAGCGAACAGGAUUAGAAACCCUAGUAGUCC
RNAcentral lists this ribosomal RNA (273 nucleotides) under uncultured bacterium. RNAcentral's name for it is "partial 16S ribosomal RNA". It matches the Rfam family "Bacterial small subunit ribosomal RNA", at positions 523 to 796 of the family's 1533-position model. The record is from RNAcentral.